AACGUGCCCAGUAGCGGGGGAUAACUACGCGAAAGCGUGGCUAAUACCGCAUACGCCCUUAGGGGGAAAGGCGGGGAUCCUUCGGGACCUGUCACUAUUGGAGCGGCCGAUAUCGGAUUAGCUAGUUGGUGGGGUAAUGGCCUACCAAGGCGACGAUCCGUAGCUGGUUUGAGAGGACGACCAGCCACACUGGGACUGAGACACGGCCCAGACUCCUACGGGAGGCAGCAGUGGGGAAUUUUGGACAAUGGGGGCAACCCUGAUCCAGCCAUCCCGCGUGUGCGAUGAAGGCCUUCGGGUUGUAAAGCACUUUUGGCAGGGAAGAAAUUGUUCUGGUUAAUAGCUGGAGCCGAUGACGGUACCUGCAGAAUAAGCACCGGCUAACUACGUGCCAGCAGCCGCGGUAAUACGUAGGGUGCGAGCGUUAAUCGGAAUUACUGGGCGUAAAGCGUGCGCAGGCGGUUCGGAAAGAGAGAUGUGAAAUCCCAGGGCUCAACCUUGGAACUGCAUUUUUAACUACCGGGCUAGAGUGUGUCAGAGGGGGGUGGAAUUCCGCGUGUAGCAGUGAAAUGCGUAGAGAUGCGGA
Molecule: ribosomal RNA, 586 nt
Filed under: uncultured Burkholderiales bacterium
Lineage: Bacteria; Pseudomonadati; Pseudomonadota; Betaproteobacteria; Burkholderiales
Description: bacterial SSU rRNA
Rfam family: Bacterial small subunit ribosomal RNA
Source: RNAcentral